Phasianus colchicus (ring-necked pheasant) is the source of this 1725-nucleotide long non-coding RNA. RefSeq lists it as uncharacterized. NCBI's taxonomy places the organism in Eukaryota, Metazoa, Chordata, Aves, Galliformes, Phasianidae. The record is from RefSeq and is a predicted model, not a curated record.
UAUGACAGAAACAAUGGAGAGACCAAAGAAGGAAUUUUGCAGUAUAUGUGCUUCUGAAAUUUGUUUCUGAUAGAAAUAAUACAUGUGUUACCACUAUGGACAUGUAUAUGCAGAAGGCACCCAGUGAGAACUCCUGGCUGAGAAAAAAUAAAGACUGGAAGUAUCAACGAGAAUAGCAACUAAUGUCAGGCAGAAAUCUGAGGGGAUAAUGGAAGGUAGAAAGAACGAUUCUGGAUGUAAAACUUCUUGUUCCAGAGCAGCUAAAUCAAAGACAUGAAUGAUGCAUGGGCAAUCAGUGGAUGAAGGUGACUGGGAAAAAAAAAAACAAAAACAAAAAGAAACAAAAAACAAAAAAAAAAGAAAAAAGAAAAAAAAAACAAGGCAGGGAAAGACUAGCUAGUGAAAAAGCUGCAGUAUAAAUUUUAUGUCUUCAAAGCUAUGAAGGAAAAACAAGCCAUGGCAAAUAAUGGAAACAAAAGUGAAACUGGCUGCCAAUUCAAAAGGUGAAGCUGAUACUAUAAUUCCUCAGAGACUGCCUAAGACAAUAUUUUUUUUCAAUAUUUGAGAGAGAUGUCAGGAUGAUGCACAUUUAGUUGAAAGAGUGGGAGACAGAAGACCAGAAAAUCACACUAGCACAACAAGAAGCCUUUAGGAAAACAGUAGUAAGGAAAACAAACAAGCCUAUUAUAGUAAAGUAGCAGAAAUCAGGCAGGUAUUGUCUCCUGGGAACCAAAAUAUAGUGUUGAAGAAGAUUCCAAAGGCAGAAAGGGAGAGGCUACUCUUUGUUUUUCAUAUAAAUCAGCUUGGAUCUCCUGCUCACAGAUCAAAUGAGUGUUCAAGUAAUAAAGCAGUUUAAAGAAGUGGAAGCACAAGUAAUCCUCAGAAAGGAAUCUUCUUGUCCAUAGCAAAUAAAAAUGGCCCAGAAAACUGUCACUGAAUUUUUGUGAUGUCUGAGCACAGUAAACAUUGAAAGUAUAUGCAUGAUAGUGCACUUGAGUAAAGAGUUCAGGAGUUUCCACAGAAAUAAUGUGGAAAGUAAGAUCAAGGUUGUUGUAAGUUUUCAUCUAGAAGGGAGAAGACGCAAAACCACUUGUACUACAACAAUGCUUCAUGUAAAAAUACAAACAAAUAAAGGAGAGAAACACUGCAAUGUUCAAGAGAAACACCUUGAAGUACCAACCAGGACAUUGGCAUCUAUACAUCAGUUCUGCUAAGGGAUAAAAAUUUAAAUCUGUGUCAUAAUUGCAGUAUUUGGAACAAAUCCUGGAUGAAUUAAACCAUCUGGUAAAAAAGAAGGAUGUGUCCUGGUUUUGGCUGGGAUAGUUAAUUUUCUUCCUAGAAACUGGUAUGGUGCUGUGUUUUGAAUUGCAGACGAGAAUAAUGUUGAUAACAAACCAAUCUUUUAGUUAUUUCUGAGCAGUGCUCACACAGAGCCAAGGACGUUUCAGCUUCAUAUUCUGUCCUGCCAGCAAGGGAACCAGGGAUGCAUGAGGAGGUGGAAGGAGACAGGACCGGGACAGGUGACCAAAGAGGGGGGACCAUGCUAUAUGGUGUCACAAUGAACAAUGGGGAGCUGACCCAGGGAUCUGCCACUGUAGGAACUGACUGGGCAUAGGUGCUGACCCUGAAUGGACCAGUGUGCUUUUAGUGACAAAUGGAGACAAAGGACGGUCAGUGUCUCACAGGACAACAAAUGGCUUGAAACAUAAAUAAAUUACAAUGAAA